CCUAUGGGAGGCAGCAGUGAGGAAUAUUGGUCAAUGGGCGCGAGCCUGAACCAGCCAAGCAGCGUGAAGGAUGACUGCCCUACGGGUUGUAAACUCUUUUUAUAAAGGAAUAAAGUGAGGCACGUGUGCCUUUUUGUAUGUACUUUAUGUAUAAGGAUCGGCUAACCCCGGGCCAGCAGCCGCGGUAAUACGGUGGAUCCGAGCGUUACGCGGAUUUAUUGGGUUUAAAGGGAGCGUAGGUGGAUUGUUAAGUCAGUUGUGAAAGUUUGCGGCUCAACCGGACAAUUGCAGUUGAAACUGGGAGUCUUGAGUACAGUAGAGGUGGGCGGAAUUCGUGGUGUAGCGGUGAAAUGCUUAGAUAUCUCGAAGAACUCCGAUUGCGAAGGCAGUUCACUGGACUGCAACUGACACUGAGGCUCGAAAGUGUGGGUAUCAAACAGGAUUAGAUACCCGAGUAGUC
Molecule: ribosomal RNA, 460 nt
Filed under: uncultured bacterium
Lineage: Bacteria
Description: partial 16S ribosomal RNA
Rfam family: Bacterial small subunit ribosomal RNA
Source: RNAcentral